This 246-nucleotide long non-coding RNA is filed under the name Elaeis guineensis (African oil palm). RNAcentral describes it as "long non-coding RNA (EGUI_LNC006963)". The record is from RNAcentral. Lineage: Eukaryota; Viridiplantae; Streptophyta; Magnoliopsida; Arecales; Arecaceae.
UUCUGUAGGGUCUUUUUCAAUUUGAAGAUAACUUUCUUUGGUCUAAAGACUUUGAGACUUUUGCCUUUCUUAGGACCAGAUCUCCUGGACGGAAGACCUUCGAUUUAACUUUUGAAUUAUAAUAUCAGACUACUCUUUGUCGAUAUACUGUCAUCCAAACUUGAGCUUAUUGUCGGACUUCUAAAAGUAGGUCUAGAUCAGCUCUCCGAUAUUCUGAAUUACUCGGUUCAUUGUAUUAUUCCACCC